UUGAUCAUGGCUCAGAAUGAACGUUGGCGGCGUGGAUUAGGCAUGCAAGUCGAGCGCGAAUCGUAGCAAUACGAGGAGAGCGGCAAACGGGGUAGGAAGGAUUGGUGACGUACCCUCCGGACGGGGAUAGCCAUGGGAAACUAUGGGUAAUACCCCGAUGAUCUCCUGAGUUUGAAUACUUAGGUGCAAAAGGUGUGAUUCCACCCGGGGGAGCGGGCCAAUUCUGACAUCAGCUAGUUGGUAAGGUAACGGCUUAUCAAGGCUUUGACGUCUAGGGGGGUGUGAGAGCAUGGCCCCCGCCACUGGGACUGAGAUACUGCCCAGACACCUACGGGUGGCUGCAGUCGAGAGUCUUCGGCAAUGGGCGAAAGCCUGACCGAGCGACGCCGCGUGCGGGAUGAAGGUCUUCGGAUUGUAAACCGCUGUCAGAGGGGAUGAAGUUAUGGUGGGUUCUCCCUCCAUAUUGACAGAGCCUCAGAGGAAGCACGGGCUAAGUAUGUGCCAGCAGCCGCGGUAAUACAUACUGUGCGAACGUUAUUCGGAUUCACUGGGCUUAAAGGGUGCGUAGGUGGCUUGUUAAGUAGGGUGUGAAAGCCCCCAGCUCAACUGGGGGAACUGCAUUCUAUACUGGCGAGCUAGAGUGAGAUAGGGGUGUGUGGAACUGCCAGUGGAGCGGUGAAAUGUUGUUGAUAUUGGCCAGGAACGCCGGUGGCGAAAGCGACACACUGGGUCUCAACUGACACUGAAGGCACGAAAGCCAGGGGAGCGAACGGGAUUAGAUACCCCCGGUAGUCCUGGCCCGUAAACGCUGAGUACUCGUCCGGGAGCGGCUUCGGUUGCUCCAGACUUAGAGAAAUCGUUAAGUACUCCGCCUGGGGAGUAUGGUCGCAAGGCUGAAACUAAAUCGAAUUAACA
RNAcentral lists this ribosomal RNA (915 nucleotides) under uncultured bacterium. RNAcentral's name for it is "bacterial SSU rRNA". It matches the Rfam family "Bacterial small subunit ribosomal RNA", at positions 13 to 915 of the family's 1533-position model. The record is from RNAcentral.